RNAcentral lists this ribosomal RNA (301 nucleotides) under uncultured bacterium. RNAcentral's name for it is "partial 16S ribosomal RNA". It matches the Rfam family "Bacterial small subunit ribosomal RNA", at positions 509 to 809 of the family's 1533-position model. The record is from RNAcentral.
CAGUCGCCACGGUAAUACGUAGGUGGCAAGCGUUGUCCGGAAUUAUUGGGCGUAAAGGGCUCGCAGGCGGUUUCUUAAGUCUGAUGUGAAAGCCCCCGGCUCAACCGGGGAGGGUCAUUGGAAACUGGGAAACUUGAGUGCAGAAGAGGAGAGUGGAAUUCCACGUGUAGCGGUGAAAUGCGUAGAGAUGUGGAGGAACACCAGUGGCGAAGGCGACUCUCUGGUCUGUAACUGACGCUGAGGAGCGAAAGCGUGGGGAGCGAACAGGAUUAGAUACCCGCGUAGUCCCUGUCUCUUAUAA